This 72-nucleotide transfer RNA is filed under the name Camelus ferus (Wild Bactrian camel). It matches the Rfam family "tRNA". From Rfam's summary of the family: Transfer RNA (tRNA) molecules are approximately 80 nucleotides in length. Their secondary structure includes four short double-helical elements and three loops (D, anti-codon, and T loops). Further hydrogen bonds mediate the characteristic L-shaped molecular structure. tRNAs have two regions of fundamental functional importance: the anti-codon, which is responsible for specific mRNA codon recognition, and the 3' end, to which the tRNAs corresponding amino acid is attached (by aminoacyl-tRNA synthetases). tRNAs cope with the degeneracy of the genetic code in two manners: having more than one tRNA (with a specific anti-codon) for a particular amino acid; and 'wobble' base-pairing, i.e. permitting non-standard base-pairing at the 3rd anti-codon position. The record is from Rfam by way of RNAcentral. Lineage: Eukaryota; Metazoa; Chordata; Mammalia; Artiodactyla; Camelidae.
GAGGAUAUAACUCAGCGUUAGAGUGCAUGCCUAGCAUGCACAAGGUCCUGGGUUCAAUCUCCAGUACCUCCA